RNAcentral lists this ribosomal RNA (253 nucleotides) under uncultured bacterium. RNAcentral describes it as "partial 16S ribosomal RNA". It matches the Rfam family "Bacterial small subunit ribosomal RNA", at positions 524 to 776 of the family's 1533-position model. The record is from RNAcentral.
UACGGGGGGGGCAAGCGUUGUUCGGAAUUACUGGGCGUAAAGGGCGCGUAGGCGGGCUGUCAAGUCGGUGGUGAAAUCGUUCCGCUCAACGGGACAAUGGCCUUCGAUACUGGCGGUCUGGAGGGAGGUAGGGGCAUGCGGAACUUCCGGUGGAGCGGUGAAAUGCGUAGAUAUCGGAAGGAACACCGAUGGCGAAAGCAGCGUGCUGGACCUUUUCUGACGCUGAGGCGCGAAAGCCAGGGGAGCAAACGGG